UCUGACUUAACAUAUAUAAAUGUAAAAGAUUGUAAAUCUUUAAAAAGCAAAAUUGCUA
RNAcentral lists this transfer RNA (58 nucleotides) under Duplicibothrium sp. MZUSP 8039. RNAcentral describes it as "tRNA-Tyr". Lineage: Eukaryota; Metazoa; Platyhelminthes; Cestoda; Tetraphyllidea; Serendipidae. The record is from RNAcentral.